AUUGAACGCUGGCGGCAGGCCUAACACAUGCAAGUCGAACGGUAACAGGAAACAGCUUGCUGAUUCGCUGACGAGGGGCGGACGGGUGAGUAAUGUCUGGGAAACUGCCUGAUGGAGGGGGAUAACUACUGGAAACGGUAGCUAAUACCGCAUAACGUCGCAAGACCAAAGAGGGGGACCUUCGGGGCUCUUGCCAUCGGAUGUGCCCAGAUGGGAUUAGCUAGUAGGUGGGGUAACGGCUCACCUAGGCGACGAUCCCUAGCUGGUCUGAGAGGAUGACCAGCCACACUGGAACUGAGACACGGUCCAGACUCCUACGGGAGGCAGCAGUGGGGAAUAUUGCACAAUGGGCGCAAGCCUGAUGCAGCCAUGCCGCGUGUAUGAAGAAGGCCUUCGGGUUGUAAAGUACUUUCAGCGGGGAUGAAGGGAGUAAAGUUAAUACCUUGGCUCAUUGACGUUACCCGCAGAAGAAGCACCGGCUAACUCCGUG
Molecule: ribosomal RNA, 490 nt
Filed under: uncultured bacterium
Lineage: Bacteria
Description: partial 16S ribosomal RNA
Rfam family: Bacterial small subunit ribosomal RNA
Source: RNAcentral